AGCGAACGCUGGCGGCAGGCUUAACACAUGCAAGUCGAGCGGGCACUUUCGGGUGUCCGCGGCGGACGGGUGAGUAACGCGUGGGAACGUGCCCUCUGGUUCGGAAUAACUCAGGGAAACUUGAGCUAAUACCGGAUACGCCCUUUUGGGGAAAGGCUUGCUGCCGGAGGAUCGGCCCGCGUCUGAUUAGCUAGUUGGUGAGGUAACGGCUCACCAAGGCGACGAUCAGUAGCUGGUCUGAGAGGAUGAUCAGCCACACUGGGACUGAGACACGGCCCAGACUCCUACGGGAGGCAGCAGUGGGGAAUGUUGGACAAUGGGCGCAAGCCUGAUCCAGCCAUGCCGCGUGAGUGAUGAAGGCCUUAGGGUUGUAAAGCUCUUUUAUCCGGGACGAUAAUGACGGUACCGGAGGAAUAAGCCCCGGCUAACUUCGUG
Molecule: ribosomal RNA, 435 nt
Filed under: uncultured bacterium
Lineage: Bacteria
Description: partial 16S ribosomal RNA
Rfam family: Bacterial small subunit ribosomal RNA
Source: RNAcentral